Molecule: non-coding RNA, 428 nt
Organism: Cicer arietinum (chickpea)
Lineage: Eukaryota; Viridiplantae; Streptophyta; Magnoliopsida; Fabales; Fabaceae
Source: RefSeq, a predicted model, not a curated record
CUUGCUUAUAUAGGCAAAGAGUCAUGCUUGUACAGCUUUGGUGUAGUGGAGGAAAUGAUGAGAUUCCUUCUGCUUUCGGUGCCACGUUUGAACUUUAGUGUUUGCAAUUGAAGUUUGUGUGAGAAACAACGUAAAGGUAUUUUCUGAGUUGGGGUGUCAAUUUCAGACGUAAAUCAUCGAAGGGAUAUUCUUGAUGUUACAUUGAAGAAGGAUUAUUUUUAGGUUUGGCUAGAGAGGUGUCUUUAGGGACUAUCUUGCAAAGAGUCGAUAGCAGUUCUUCUUUUUGAAGAUAUGGUUCAGAUUACUUUGGAGGAUUGUUCUAAGAUUCUGGUUCGUGUACAUUUAAGAAGAAGGGAAUGACGAACAUUGAUGUAACUAUUGUCGAAUGAUCUUGUACACUUCAAAAUCGAUAAUAAUCGUUGUUUGAU